Molecule: ribosomal RNA, 1398 nt
Filed under: bacterium SOSP1-63
Lineage: Bacteria; Bacillati; Chloroflexota; Ktedonobacteria
Description: bacterial SSU rRNA
Rfam family: Bacterial small subunit ribosomal RNA
Source: RNAcentral
GCUGGCGGCGUGCCUAACACAUGCAAGUCGAACGCCCUUAGCAAUAAGGGAGUGGCGGACGGGUGAGGAACCCGUGGGUAUCUACCCCAUAGUGAGGAAUACCGGCGAGAAAUCGCCGACAAUACCGCAUACGCUCGCUCUUUCGGGAGCAAGCAAAGCCUUUCGGGGCGCUAUGGGAUGAGCCUGCGACUGAUUAGCUAGUUGGGGGGGUAAUGGCCUCCCAAGGCGACGAUCAGUAGCUGGUCUGAGAGGACGAUCAGCCACACUGGGAUUGAGAACGGCCCAGACUCCUACGGGGGGCAGCAGUGAGGAAUUUUCGGCAAUGGGGGCAACCCUGACCGAGCAACGCCGCGUGCAGGAUGACGGCCUUCGGGUUGUAAACUGCUUUUCUCUGGGACGAGAACGGACGGUACCAGAGGAAUCAGCCUCGGCUAACUACGUGCCAGCAGCCGCGGUAAUACGUAGGAGGCAAGCGUUGUCCGGAGUUACUGGGCGUAAAGGGCCUGUAGGCGGUGCGUUACGUUUGGAGUGACAGUGCUCGGCUUAACCGAGCAAGGCCUUCGAACACGGACGCACUUGAGGGCUUCAGAGGGAGGCGGAAUUCCGGGUGGAGCGGUGAAAUGCGUAGAGAUCCGGAGGAACACCAACGGCGAAGGCAGCCUCCUGGGAAGUACCUGACGCUGAGGGGCGAAAGCUAGGGGAGCGAACAGGAUUAGAUACCCUGGUAGUCCUAGCGGUAAACGAUGACCACUAGACGCAGGAGGAUCGACCCCUUCUGUGUCGCAGCUAACGCGAUAAGUGGUCCGCCUGGGGAGUACGGUCGCAAGAUUAAAACUCAAAGGAAUUGACGGGGACCCGCACAAGCAGCGGAGCGUGUGGUUUAAUUCGAAGCAACGCGAAGCACCUUACCAGACCUUGACAUGUGAUUGCACCACCCGUAAUGGGGUGUCCCUUCGGGGCGGUCACACAGGUGCUGCAUGGCUGUCGUCAGCUCGUGUCGUGAGAUGUUGGGUUAAGUCCCGCAACGAGCGCAACCCCCAUGGUUGGUUGUACUUUUCCAGCCAGACUGCCGCGAACAACGCGGAGGAAGGUGGGGAUGACGUCAAGUCAGCACGGCCCUGACGGUCUGGGCGACACACACGCUACAAUGGGCACGACAAAGGGUCGCCAACCCGCGAGGGGGAGCUAAUCCCACAAACGUGCUCUCAGUUCAGAUUGGAGGCUGCAACCCGCCUCCAUGAAGUUGGAGUUGCUAGUAACCGUGAGUCAGCACAUCACGGUGAAUACGUUCCCGGGUCUUGUACACACCGCCCGUCACACCACGAAAGUCGGCAACACCUGAAGCCGCUGGGCUAACCCGCUCGUCGGGAGGCAGGCGUCGAGGGUGGGGUCGGUGAU